This 64-nucleotide transfer RNA is filed under the name Coelioxys fenestratus. RNAcentral describes it as "Coelioxys fenestrata tRNA-Pro". Lineage: Eukaryota; Metazoa; Arthropoda; Insecta; Hymenoptera; Megachilidae. The record is from RNAcentral.
CAAAAUAUAGUUUAUUAAAACAUUAAUUUUGGGAAUUAAAAAUAUUUAUUAAAAAUUAUUUUGA